GGAUCCUAGUGGCGAACGGGUGAGUAACACGUAGGGAACCUGCCCGCGCACCGGGAAUACGCUCUGGAAACGGAGAACAAAUCCCGAUGUACAGGAAGGAGGCAUCUUCUUUCUGUGAAACAUCCUGUAAGGGAUGGGGCGCGGAUGGACCUGCGGUGCAUUAGUUGGUUGGCGAGGGUAAAGGCCCACCAAGACGAUGAUGCAUAGCCGGCCUGAGAGGGCGGACGGCCACAUUGGGACUGAGACACGGCCCAGACUCCUGCGGGAGGCAGCAGUAGGGAAUUUUCGUCAAUGGGCGCAAGCCUGAACGAGCGAUGCCGCGUGAGUGAAGAAGGCCUUCGGGUCGUAAAGCUCUGUUGCGGGGGAAAAAAGGCAUCUGCAGGAAAUGGUAGAUGACAGAUGGUGCCCCGCCAGAAAGUCACGGCUAACUACGUGCCAGCAGCCGCGGUAAUACGUAGGUGGCGAGCGUUAUCCGGAAUGAUUGGGCGUAAAGGGUGCGCAGGCGGUCCUGCAAGUCUGGAGUGAAACGUAUGAGCUCAACUCAUGCAUGGCUCUGGAAACUGGAGGACUGGAGAGCAGGAGAGGGCGGUGGAACUCCAUGUGUAGCGGUAAAAUGCGUAGAUAUAUGGAAGAACACCAGUGGCGAAGGCGGCCGCCUGGCCUGUUGCUGACGCUGAGGCACGAAAGCGUGGGGAGCAAAUAGGAUUAGAUACCCUGGUAGUCCACGCCGUAAACGAUGAAUGCUAAGUGUUGGAGGGUUUCCGCCCUUCAGUGCUGCAGCUAACGCAAUAAGCAUUCCGCCUGGGGAGUACGACCGCAAGGUUGAAACUCAAAGGAAUUGACGGGGGCCCGCACAAGCGGUGGAGCAUGUGGUUUAAUUCAAAGCAACGCGAAGAACCUUACCAGGUCUUGACAUCUUCUGACAAUCCUAGAGAUAGGACUUUCCCUUCGGGGACAGAAUGACAGGUGGUGCAUGGUUGUCGUCAGCUCGUGUCGUGAGAUGUUGGGUUAAGUCCCGCAACGAGCGCAACCCUUAUUGUUAGUUGCCAGCAUUAAGUUGGGCACUCUAGCAAGACUGCCGGUGACAAACCGGAGGAAGGUGGGGAUGACGUCAAAUCAUCAUGCCCCUUAUGACCUGGGCUACACACGUGCUACAAUGGACGGUACAACGAGUCGCAAGACCGCGAGGUUUAGCAAAUCUCUUAAAGCCGUUCUCAGUUCGGAUUGUAGGCUGCAACUCGCCUACAUGAAGUCGGAAUCGCUAGUAAUCGCGGAUCAGCAUGCCGCGGUGAAUACGUUCCCGGGCCUUGCACUCACCGCCCGUCA
This 1326-nucleotide ribosomal RNA is filed under the name uncultured bacterium. Its description in RNAcentral is "bacterial SSU rRNA". It matches the Rfam family "Bacterial small subunit ribosomal RNA", at positions 87 to 1399 of the family's 1533-position model. The record is from RNAcentral.